AACGAACGCUGGCGGCAUGCCUAACAUAUGCAAGUCGAACGAGACCUUCGGGUCUAGUGGCGCACGGGUGCGUAACGCGUGGGAACCUGCCCUUAGGUUCGGAAUAACUCCCCGAAAGGGGUGCUAAUACCGGAUAAUGUCUUCGGACCAAAGAUUUAUCGCCUUUGGAUGGGCCCGCGUUGGAUUAGCUAGUUGGUAGGGUAAAAGCCUACCAAGGCGACGAUCCAUAGCUGGUCUGAGAGGAUGAUCAGCCACACUGGGACUGAGACACGGCCCAGACUCCUACGGGAGGCAGCAGUGGGGAAUAUUGGACAAGGGGCGAAAGCCUGAGCCAGCAAUGCCGCGUGAGUGAUGAAGGCCUUAGGGUUGUAAAGCUCUUUUACCCGGGAUGAUAAUGACAGUACCGGGAGAAUAAGCUCCGGCUAACUCCGUG
Molecule: ribosomal RNA, 433 nt
Filed under: uncultured bacterium
Lineage: Bacteria
Description: partial 16S ribosomal RNA
Rfam family: Bacterial small subunit ribosomal RNA
Source: RNAcentral